AUUUAGAAAACAGUGUAAGUCCUGCUCAGAGCUCAGGGAGACUGAAGAGGGUGUCAAAAAUUUCUUUGAAGAGCAAUCAGGGAUAACAGCAUGCAUUUUAGAUAAUGGACAAGAAAGAGGAAGAGCACAGCAAGGAAGGACGUCUGAGAUCCUGGGCAGCCAGCUCUUGGUUCAGGCUCAGAGUAACAUCUCCAUGGCCAUCCUCCUCACAUGGGCUGGAGGAAGGCAGAAGGUGGCCACCACUGUUACAACCAGAUCAACUGGCCAACUUUGCUGGCCCAGAUCAGAAAAUGAACUUACAAGAAACACUAUUAAUGAAAUAGAGAAAGAAGAAUGUCAGAAAAAAUAAUUAAACUGUUGUCGAAUUGCUUAUUUAGCAAGAAGGAGACAGUUGCUCGUGGCUGCACAAGCAUAGGCUUGGUUUGUAACUUGCUACCAAAUAAGAUCUUGCAGCAAACCAAGCCAGAGGCACCCCAGGAAUCAAUAGCUGAUUGAUACACAACCUGGAAGAAGUGUUGCUGUCUGCUUGUUAGGGGCCUGAACCUGAGGCUUUGGCUCUAGCCCUAAAAGAGUGUCAAGUGCAACAACCUUAAUUGUUGCUGCCACCUGGAAAACCCAGAGCAGCAGCUUAUAAAUGCUGCUAUUCAUUUUCACAAUGCUUUUACUUAUUUGUAUCUGUGUCUGUUGCUGCAUAGCAGGCCUCGAGAGCAGCAGUAAAUAUAUUCAACUGGUUUACUUAAAGAGGUUUAAAUGCCUCACAUCGCAGUUUUUCCCUUGCUACUUGAUAAAUAAAUACGUCGGCUUCGGCACUGCA
Anas platyrhynchos (mallard) is the source of this 814-nucleotide non-coding RNA. The record is from RefSeq and is a predicted model, not a curated record. NCBI's taxonomy places the organism in Eukaryota, Metazoa, Chordata, Aves, Anseriformes, Anatidae.